ACAAGGUUAAGUUAGACAAGACUGUAUGUUUUCAAAACAUUUAGCAACUCCUUUAGUUACCUUGUG
Molecule: transfer RNA, 66 nt
Filed under: Grillotia pristiophori
Lineage: Eukaryota; Metazoa; Platyhelminthes; Cestoda; Trypanorhyncha; Lacistorhynchidae
Description: tRNA-Trp
Source: RNAcentral